UUGGAAUAAUACCCCAUACGAUCUUUACCUGGCAUCGGGUAGAGAAGAAAACUUUUGUGGUAGAAGAUGGCAUGCGUCCUAUUAGUUAGUUGGUGAGGUAACGGCUCACCAAGACGUCGAUAGGUAGGGGCCCUGAGAGGGGGAUCCCCACACUGGUACUGAGACACGGACCAGACUCCUACGGGAGGCAGCAGUGAGGAAUAUUGGACAAUGGAGGCAACUCUGAUCCAGCCAUGCCGCGUGCAGGAAGACUGCCCUAUGGGUUGUAAACUGCUUUUAUACAGGAAGAAACUGCGCUACGUGUAGCGUACUGACGGUACUGUAAGAAUAAGGAUCGG
RNAcentral lists this ribosomal RNA (338 nucleotides) under uncultured Bacteroidota bacterium. RNAcentral's name for it is "bacterial SSU rRNA". It matches the Rfam family "Bacterial small subunit ribosomal RNA", at positions 158 to 496 of the family's 1533-position model. The record is from RNAcentral. Lineage: Bacteria; Pseudomonadati; Bacteroidota.